Molecule: ribosomal RNA, 231 nt
Filed under: Clostridioides difficile
Lineage: Bacteria; Bacillati; Bacillota; Clostridia; Peptostreptococcales; Peptostreptococcaceae
Description: partial 16S ribosomal RNA
Rfam family: Bacterial small subunit ribosomal RNA
Source: RNAcentral
GAUGAAGGCCUGCGGGUCGUAAAACUCUGUCCUCAAGGAAGAUAAUGACGGUACUUGAGGAGGAAGCCCCGGCUAACUACGUGCCAGCAGCCGCGGUAAUACGUAGGGGGCUAGCGUUAUCCGGAUUGACUGGGCGUAAAGGGUGCGUAGGCGGUCUUUCAAGUCAGGAGUGAAAGGCUACGGCUCAACCGUAGUAAGCUCUUGAAACUGGGAGACUUGAGUGCAGGAGAG